GCGAAAGUGGCGGAAUUGGUAUACGCGCUAGACUUAGGAUCUAGUCCCGGCAACGGGUUGGGGGUUCGAGUCCCCCCUUUCGCACCA
Molecule: transfer RNA, 87 nt
Filed under: Acidobacteriota bacterium
Lineage: Bacteria; Pseudomonadati; Acidobacteriota
Description: Acidobacteria bacterium tRNA-Leu
Rfam family: tRNA
About the family: Transfer RNA (tRNA) molecules are approximately 80 nucleotides in length. Their secondary structure includes four short double-helical elements and three loops (D, anti-codon, and T loops).
Source: RNAcentral